Molecule: small RNA, 94 nt
Filed under: Microcebus murinus (gray mouse lemur)
Lineage: Eukaryota; Metazoa; Chordata; Mammalia; Primates; Cheirogaleidae
Description: Y RNA (ENSMICG00000043769.1)
Rfam family: Y RNA
About the family: Y RNAs are components of the Ro ribonucleoprotein particle (Ro RNP), in association with Ro60 and La proteins. The Y RNAs and Ro60 and La proteins are well conserved, but the function of the Ro RNP is not known. In humans the RNA component can be one of four small RNAs -- hY1, hY3, hY4 and hY5.
Source: RNAcentral
AACUUGGAUAAUUGUUUACAACUAAUUGAUCACAACCAGUUACAGAUUCCUUUGUUCCUUCUCCACUCCCACUGCUCCACUUGACCAGUCUUAA